GACGAACGCUGGCGGCGUGCUUAACACAUGCAAGUCGAACGCUGAAGCUCAGCUUUUGUUGGGUGGAUGAGUGGCGAACGGGUGAGUAACACGUGAGUAACCUGCCUCCUUCUUUGGGAUAACGCCCGGAAACGGGUGCUAAUACUGGAUAUUCACUGGUCUUCGCAUGGGGGUUGGUGGAAAGGGUUUUUCUGGUGGGGGAUGGGCUCGCGGCCUAUCAGCUUGUUGGUGGGGUGAUGGCCUACCAAGGCUUUGACGGGUAGCCGGCCUGAGAGGGUGACCGGUCACAUUGGGACUGAGAUACGGCCCAGACUCCUACGGGAGGCAGCAGUGGGGAAUAUUGCACAAUGGGCGCAAGCCUGAUGCAGCGACGCCGCGUGAGGGAUGGAGGCCUUCGGGUUGUGAACCUCUUUCGCUCAUGGUCAAGCCGCAACAAUGGUUGUGGUGAGGGUAGUGGAUAAAGAAGCGCCGGCUAACUACGUG
This 483-nucleotide ribosomal RNA is filed under the name uncultured bacterium. RNAcentral describes it as "partial 16S ribosomal RNA". It matches the Rfam family "Bacterial small subunit ribosomal RNA", at positions 28 to 507 of the family's 1533-position model. The record is from RNAcentral.